Molecule: long non-coding RNA, 249 nt
Organism: Zerene cesonia (dogface butterfly)
Lineage: Eukaryota; Metazoa; Arthropoda; Insecta; Lepidoptera; Pieridae
Exons: 3
Source: RefSeq, a predicted model, not a curated record
CGCCCGCACCGCGCGCACCGCGCUCGCGCACUGGGAGAAGGCGUGCACGUUGGCGCAGAAGUAUUCCCUGCAGGUGUCACCGGUGGAGGAGUCGCUGCUCGAGAUGCUACACCCGGACAGUGGCAUCGACGCGCACUGGGUGGAGAGCGUGUCGGCCCUCGUGCGCGAGAUGUCGUCGCUGGCGCGCGGCGCGGCGGGCGCGGCGGGCGAGCGGCGCGCGCGGGCCGGCGCCGCGCUGCGGGCCGCCGC